Molecule: ribosomal RNA, 596 nt
Filed under: uncultured fungus
Lineage: Eukaryota; Fungi
Description: eukaryotic LSU rRNA
Rfam family: 5.8S ribosomal RNA (bases 232-385)
Source: RNAcentral
CUUGGUCAUUUAGAGGAAGUAAAAGUCGUAACAAGGUUUCCGUAGGUGAACCUGCGGAAGGAUCAUUACAGAGAACUUGCCCUUCGGGGUAGAUCUCCCACCCUGUGUUUACGUUACCAUUGUUGCUUUGACGGGCCCGUCCCUCGGGACCGCCGGCUCCGGCUGGCCCGUGCCCGUCAGAGGACCCAAAACUCUUGUUUAAACGUCGUCUGAGUACUAUAUAAUAGUUAAAACUUUCAACAACGGAUCUCUUGGUUCUGGCAUCGAUGAAGAACGCAGCGAAAUGCGAUAAGUAAUGUGAAUUGCAGAAUUCAGUGAAUCAUCGAAUCUUUGAACGCACAUUGCGCCCUCUGGUAUUCCGGGGGGCAUGCCUGUUCGAGCGUCAUUACAACCCUCAAGCUCUGCUUGGUAUUGGGUGCCGCCCCCCACGGGGCGCGCCUUAAAGACAGUGGCGGUGCCGUCCGGCUCCAAGCGUAGUAAUUCUUCUCGCUCUGGAGGACCGGUCGUGUGCUUGCCAGCAACCCCCAAUUUUUCCAGGUUGACCUCGGAUCAGGUAGGGAUACCCGCUGAACUUAAGCAUAUCAAUAAGCGGAGGA